RNAcentral lists this ribosomal RNA (500 nucleotides) under uncultured bacterium. RNAcentral's name for it is "partial 16S ribosomal RNA". It matches the Rfam family "Bacterial small subunit ribosomal RNA", at positions 30 to 523 of the family's 1533-position model. The record is from RNAcentral.
AUUGAACGCUGGCGGCAUGCCUUACACAUGCAAGUCGAACGGCAGCACGGGAGCAAUCCUGGUGGCGAGUGGCGAACGGGUGAGUAAUGUAUCGGAACGUGCCCAGUCGUGGGGGAUAACGUAGCGAAAGCUACGCUAAUACCGCAUACGAUCUGUGGAUGAAAGCGGGGGACCGUAAGGCCUCGCGCGAUUGGAGCGGCCGAUAUCAGAAUAGGUAGUUGGUAGGGUAAAGGCCUACCAAGCCGACGAUCUGUAGCUGGUCUGAGAGGACGACCAGCCACACUGGGACUGAGACACGGCCCAGAGUCCUACGGGAGGCAGCAGUGGGGAAUUUUGGACAAUGGGCGCAAGCCUGAUCCAGCAAUGCCGCGUGCAGGAUGAAGGCCUUCGGGUUGUAAACUGCUUUUGUACGGAGCGAAAAGGCUCUCUCUAAUACAGGGGGCUCAUGACGGUACCGUAAGAAUAAGCACCGGCUAACUACGUGCCAGCCGCCGCCGUAA